RNAcentral lists this ribosomal RNA (89 nucleotides) under Escherichia coli. The record is from RNAcentral. Lineage: Bacteria; Pseudomonadati; Pseudomonadota; Gammaproteobacteria; Enterobacterales; Enterobacteriaceae.
CCUGAUCCCAUGCCGAACUCAGAAGUGAAACGCCGUAGCGCCGAUGGUAGUGUGGGGUCUCCCCAUGCGAGAGUAGGGAACUGCCAGGC